RNAcentral lists this ribosomal RNA (460 nucleotides) under uncultured bacterium. RNAcentral's name for it is "partial 16S ribosomal RNA". It matches the Rfam family "Bacterial small subunit ribosomal RNA", at positions 338 to 795 of the family's 1533-position model. The record is from RNAcentral.
CCUACGGGAGGCAGCAGUGAGGAAUAUUGGUCAAUGGGCGCGAGCCUGAACCAGCCAAGUAGCGUGAAGGAUGACUGCCCUACGGGUUGUAAACUUCUUUUAUAAAGGAAUAAAGUGAUGCACGUGUGCCUUUUUGUCUGUACUUUAUGAAUAAGGAUCGGCUAACUCCGUGCCAGCAGCCGCGGUAAUCCGGAGGAUCCGAGCGUUAUCCGGAUUUAUUGGGUUUAAAGGGAGCGUCGAUGGGUUGUUAAGUCAGUUGUGAAAGUUUGGGGUUCAACCGUAAAAUUGCAAUUGAUACUGGCAGACUUGAGUACAGUAGAGGUAGGCGGAAUUCGUGGUGUAGCGGUGAAAUGCUUAGAUAUCACGAAGAACUCCGAUGGCGAAGGCAGCCUACUGAACUGCCACUGACAUUGAGGCUCGAAAGUGUGGGUAUCAAACAGGAUUAGAUACCCGAGUAGUC